Molecule: ribosomal RNA, 468 nt
Filed under: uncultured bacterium
Lineage: Bacteria
Description: partial 16S ribosomal RNA
Rfam family: Bacterial small subunit ribosomal RNA
Source: RNAcentral
GACGAACGCUGGCGGCGUGCUUAACACAUGCAAGUCGAACGGAAAGGCCCUGCUUUUGUGGGGUGCUCGAGUGGCGAACGGGUGAGUAACACGUGAGUAACCUGCCCUUGACUUUGGGAUAACUUCAGGAAACUGGGGCUAAUACCGGAUAGGAGCUCCUGCUGCAUGGUGGGGGUUGGAAAGUUUCGGCGGUUGGGGAUGGACUCGCGGCUUAUCAGCUUGUUGGUGGGGUAGUGGCUUACCAAGGCUUUGACGGGUAGCCGGCCUGAGAGGGUGACCGGCCACAUUGGGACUGAGAUACGGCCCAGACUCCUACGGGAGGCAGCAGUGGGGAAUAUGGCACAAUGGGCGGAAGCCUGAUGCAGCAACGCCGCGUGCGGGAUGACGGCCUUCGGGUUGUAAACCGCUUUCGCCUGUGACGAAGCGGGAGUGACGGUAAUGGGUAAAGAAGCACCGGCUAACUACGUG